GGGGAAGGAAAGAACACUAUGGGACAGGGGAGGGAGGGGGAAGGAAAGAACACUAUGGGACAGGGUAGGGGUAGGAAAGAACACUAUGGGACAGGAGAGAGGGAGGAAAAAACACUAUGGGACAGGGGAGGGGAGAACAUUAUGGUUUGGGGGGGGAGGGGGAGAACAGUAUGGGAGAACCAAGGUACAAGGAAGGGAAAAGGAAC
Non-coding RNA from Pelobates cultripes (western spadefoot toad), 206 nucleotides. The record is from the annotation of a GenBank genome assembly. NCBI's taxonomy places the organism in Eukaryota, Metazoa, Chordata, Amphibia, Anura, Pelobatidae.